UAGGGAAUAUUCCGCAAUGGACGCAAGUCUGACGGAGCAACGCCGCGUGCGGGAAGAAGGAGUUAGGUUCGUAAAACUCUGUUGUUAGAGGAGAACAGCGCAUAGAGUAACUGUGAUGCGCGUGACGGUAGCUAAACAGACAGCCACGGCUAACUACGUGCCAGCAGCCGCGUUAAUACGUAGGUGGCAAGCGUUGUCCGGAUUUAUUGGGCGUAAAGGGAGCGCAGGCGGGCAAUUAAGUCUGAUGUGAAAGCCCCCGGCUUAACCGGGGAGGGUCAAUGGAAACUGGUGUACUUGAGUGCAGAAGAGGAGGGUGGAAUUCCAUGUGUAGCGGUGAAAUGCGUAGAUAUAUGGAAGAACACCAGUGGCGAAGGCGACUCUCUGGUCUGUAACUGACGCUGAGGUUCGAAAGCGUGGGUAGCAAACAGG
RNAcentral lists this ribosomal RNA (429 nucleotides) under Bacteroidota bacterium. RNAcentral's name for it is "Bacteroidetes bacterium partial 16S ribosomal RNA". It matches the Rfam family "Bacterial small subunit ribosomal RNA", at positions 355 to 776 of the family's 1533-position model. Lineage: Bacteria; Pseudomonadati; Bacteroidota. The record is from RNAcentral.